RNAcentral lists this unclassified non-coding RNA (248 nucleotides) under Hevea brasiliensis (rubber tree). The record is from RNAcentral. Lineage: Eukaryota; Viridiplantae; Streptophyta; Magnoliopsida; Malpighiales; Euphorbiaceae.
AAAAUUGUUUUUAAAUGAUACAAAUGUAGAUACGUAUUCAUACGAGUUAUUUUCGGUGUUAUGACGAAUUGACAAUAAUAUUUCUCUACGUAUAUCUUUAUAUAAAUUAAAAAAUUGGAAUUUAAGCCUAUUAUUCUUAUUUGCUAAACAUGGUAAAAAAUUAAUCAAAAAACAAGAAAAUUUUAAUUAAAUGUAACGUGGAGAAAGUGCAAUAAAGUCCCUUUUCAAUUAUUUUUACAGAAUUUUAA